AACGAACGCUGGCGGCAGGCCUAACACAUGCAAGUCGAGCGCGCCCUUCGGGGUGAUUGGCGGACGGGUGAGUAACGCGUGGGAACUUGCCCUUCUCUGCGGAACAGCCUCGGGAAAGGGGGAGUAAUAUCGCAAACGCCCUUUGGGGGGAAGAUUUUUCGGAGAAGGAUCGGGCCGCGUUGGCUUAGGUAGGUGGUGGGGUAUUGGCCGACCAAGCCGACGAGCCGUAGCUGGUUUGAGAGGAUGAGCAGCCACACUGGGACUGAGGCACGGGCCGGACUCCUACGGGAGGCAGCGGUGGGGAAUCUUAGCCAAUGGGGGCAACUCUGGACUGGCCAUGGCGCGUAAGUGAUGAAGGCCUUAGGGUUGUAAAGCUCUUUCAGCUGGGAAGAUAAUGACGGUACCAGCAGAAGAAGCCCCGGCUAACUCCGUG
This 433-nucleotide ribosomal RNA is filed under the name uncultured bacterium. Its description in RNAcentral is "partial 16S ribosomal RNA". It matches the Rfam family "Bacterial small subunit ribosomal RNA", at positions 28 to 507 of the family's 1533-position model. The record is from RNAcentral.